AUGCUGGAUCAUUACUGAUUGUAUCUGGGAAGGUUCCACAUCCAUAUGAAAUUUUAAGAAUUUUAUUUGUAUCUGCAUUGUUUCAUCUUUAAUUGACCUUUAAGGUUGAAUUGAUACUCCUUCUAUAUGACGUUUUGAACGUUCACUUUGAACUUACCUGCUCAACGGUCUAGGUUUAGUCUUCGUAUUUGCCAUUUAAGACGCACCCCUGAUGAAGUCUAGCUAAUAGACGAAACGCGUUGGGUUACCGUUUUAUCCUUGAUGUUAUCUCCGAAUAUCUAAUGAGGAGGAACAAGGUUACAGCAGAAAAUUGCCUAUAUUCUUCUACAUCCCAGUGUUGGAUCAAUAUAGGAGAUAAUACAUCUUAAUGCUUAUGUAAUAAUGAUGGACACAUAAUAUGCUAUUGUAUUUUUAAUACAUUUUUUAUGAAAGAACAGUCCAUGCUUUAGAUAUUGGAUCAAUAUUGUUUGUGAAACCUCUUGAGGACUAUCUUUAGUAUUAAGGGUUGCUUCAAUCCCUGGGCGCCA
Pseudophryne corroboree (corroboree frog) is the source of this 527-nucleotide long non-coding RNA. RefSeq lists it as uncharacterized. The record is from RefSeq and is a predicted model, not a curated record. Lineage: Eukaryota; Metazoa; Chordata; Amphibia; Anura; Myobatrachidae. The transcript has 4 exons.